This 156-nucleotide ribosomal RNA is filed under the name Escherichia coli. RNAcentral describes it as "partial 23S ribosomal RNA". It matches the Rfam family "Bacterial large subunit ribosomal RNA", at positions 1 to 146 of the family's 2925-position model. Lineage: Bacteria; Pseudomonadati; Pseudomonadota; Gammaproteobacteria; Enterobacterales; Enterobacteriaceae. The record is from RNAcentral. RNAcentral also lists the same sequence under 1 other name.
GGGUUGUGAGGUUAAGCGACUAAGCGUACACGGUGGAUGCCCUGGCAGUCAGAGGCGAUGAAGGACGUGCUAAUCUGCGAUAAGCGUCGGUAAGGUGAUAUGAACCGUUAUAACCGGCGAUUUCCGAAUGGGGAAACCCAGUGUGUUUCGACACAC